UACGAAGGGGGCUAGCGUUGCUCGGAAUCACUGGGCGUAAAGCGCCCGUAGGCGGCUUGCUAAGUCAGGGGUGAAAUCCUGGAGCUCAACUCCAGAACUGCCUUUGAUACUGGCGAUCUCGAGUCCGGGAGAGGUGAGUGGAACUGCGAGUGUAGAGGUGAAAUUCGUAGAUAUUCGCAAGAACACCAGUGGCGAAGGCGGCUCACUGGCCCGGUACUGACGCUGAGGUGCGAAAGCGUGGGGAGCAAACAGG
This 253-nucleotide ribosomal RNA is filed under the name uncultured bacterium. RNAcentral describes it as "partial 16S ribosomal RNA". It matches the Rfam family "Bacterial small subunit ribosomal RNA", at positions 524 to 776 of the family's 1533-position model. The record is from RNAcentral.